RNAcentral lists this ribosomal RNA (210 nucleotides) under Chromera velia. RNAcentral's name for it is "partial Bacterial large subunit ribosomal RNA". It matches the Rfam family "Bacterial large subunit ribosomal RNA", at positions 480 to 693 of the family's 2925-position model. Lineage: Eukaryota; Chromeraceae. The record is from RNAcentral.
AUGACCGAUAGCGAACACGGUACCGUGAGGGAAAGGUGAAAAGCACCCCGACGAGGGGAGUGAAAGAGACCCUGAAACCGAAUGCCUACAAUCAGUCGGAGCCCGCAAGGGUGACGGCGUACCUUUUGCAUAAUGGGUCAGCGAGUUGGUCUUACGAGCAAGCUUAAGCCGAUGAGGUGUAGGCGCAGCGAAAGCGAGUCUGAACAGGGC